ACACAAGAACUCGACAGUUGUCCAACGUGUGUCCCAGCUUCUGAGUUAGCAUUAGCACGUUAGCUGGCCGCAAAGACGUGUUUAGUUAAGUCAAACGCGACUAAAUCAUCUUCUUCUUGCUUGCUUCCAGUCUGAAGACGUGUUGGAUGGAGGAAGCAAUGACGCAAACCUGAACCAAAUACGUCUUGAACAGACCUAGUUCUGUGUCAUAUCUCCUUUCACCAAAACCGCUAAUCAGCCCAAACAACAAAGCAUACUUGCCAACUCUCCCGAAUUUUCCGGGAGACUCCCGAAUUUCAGUGCCUCUCCCGAAAAUCUCCCGGGACAACCAUUCUACCGAAUUUCUCCCGAUUUCCAGCCGGAAAUCCGUGCGGACCUGAGUGAGGACAGCCUGCCGUCACGUCCGCUUGGCCAACCAAAAAGUAACCACAGAACAAUGUAUAGUGUUCUGUGGUUACUUUUUGGUUGGCCAACGGUUUACGUUGUAUUGCAGCACCCUGACGGCAAGUGUGGGAGUGGGUUCUGAAGUAUGAAGUAAAGAGACGUAACUUCGUCACCUCGCCUGGUUAUUGACUCCAACCCAGAAUAUUACACUGCCCAUACCUAUGCUCCUUCAAAGGCUGUGCUACUGGCUGCAAAGCAUUGCACUUUCAAACACAACAAUGAGUAGAGAGCAGUGUUAAGUGUGUGUAUGUGUCAAGGUUGGCAAGUAUGCAACAAAGUGAAGUAUUUAACCUUUUAUGAAAGCGUAUUAUAAUUAUUAUCAUUAAGAGUAUUAUCAUCAGCGUUCACACUUUCAAUAUUUGAUCGCCCAACAAUCACUGAGUCGCCUUUAUUCUUCCUUUUUUUUUUUUACUCGCUGAAUCUAGUCGGUCUCGUCACGUCCUUUUGUGACCGAGGUCCUACGAGGACGCCUUAAAAUGAAUAGUUUUCCUAAUUAUCAUAAUCCCCUGUCUGCGUCUCUUUAUCUUUCUUUUGGGCCCCUUCCUCUCACACCAUUAUUGACUGCUUGGAGGUCACAUUCUGCUUUUUGGCCACCAGAGGCCACUAGUGAGUAGUUAUAUAUUUAUAGACAUAAAUGAUGUUAAGCUUGUACACCUGUAGCUCUUGUUAACUUGUUCCAAGGACCGUGCCUAUGAUUUCAAAUGUAGGACAGUCUGGUCUGUAGAUAAAACACACUUAGGGUCGUUCUAACGUUUCUUAACACGACAUGAAAGGGACAAGCGGUAGAAAAUGGAUGGAUGGAUGGAUGUCAGUCCAAGUCAUCUUGUUUUUUCUGUUGACAAAUUCGGUCCUUCCCGCUAACUACCUAUGUACUGUACAGCUUUCAUCGUUUCAAUAACCUCACCAAGUGUACUUUUGAGUUAUUUUGUGUUUUUAUUGGUGUUCUGUUGAAAGGAAACGUUGUGACGCAAACAUCCAGUCACUGCAUGCUGUGUAUUUUGUCCAACUCGUCCUGAGCAUGGAAAUGCAUCCAAUGACAACUACUGUGCUGACUCCGUCAAUAUUCUACUAAAUAAACUGAUUUGAUGUUG
Nerophis lumbriciformis (worm pipefish) is the source of this 1535-nucleotide long non-coding RNA. RefSeq lists it as uncharacterized. NCBI's taxonomy places the organism in Eukaryota, Metazoa, Chordata, Actinopteri, Syngnathiformes, Syngnathidae. The record is from RefSeq and is a predicted model, not a curated record.